CGCUGGCGGCGUGCUUAACACAUGCAAGUCGAACGGGAUCCUGCAAGCUUGCUUGCGGGUGAGAGUGGCGAACGGGUGAGUAAUGCGUGACCAACCUGCCCCAUGCUCCGGAAUAGCUCCUGGAAACGGGUGGUAAUGCCGGAUGUGCCGGGCUCCUGCAUGGGGGUCCGGGAAAGCUCUGGCGGCGUGGGAUGGGGUCGCGUCCUAUCAGCUUGUUGGCGGGGUGAGGGCCCACCAAGGCUUCGACGGGUAGCCGGCCUGAGAGGGCGACCGGCCACAUUGGGACUGAGAUACGGCCCAGACUCCUACGGGAGGCAGCAGUGGGGAAUAUUGCACAAUGGGCGCAAGCCUGAUGCAGCGACGCCGCGUGCGGGAUGGAGGCCUUUCGGGUUGUAAACCGCUUUUGUUUGGGAGCAAGCCCUUCGGGGUGAGUGUACCUUUCGAAUAAGCACCGGCUAACUACGUGCCAGCAGCCGCGG
This 479-nucleotide ribosomal RNA is filed under the name Bifidobacterium thermophilum. Its description in RNAcentral is "bacterial SSU rRNA". It matches the Rfam family "Bacterial small subunit ribosomal RNA", at positions 34 to 520 of the family's 1533-position model. Lineage: Bacteria; Bacillati; Actinomycetota; Actinomycetes; Bifidobacteriales; Bifidobacteriaceae. The record is from RNAcentral.